This 464-nucleotide ribosomal RNA is filed under the name uncultured bacterium. Its description in RNAcentral is "SSU rRNA". It matches the Rfam family "Bacterial small subunit ribosomal RNA", at positions 26 to 518 of the family's 1533-position model. The record is from RNAcentral.
AGAAUCAACGCUGGCGGCGUGCCUAACACAUGCAAGUCGAACGAGAAAGUGGAGCAAUCCAUGAGUAAAGUGGCGCACGGGUGAGUAACACGUGACUAACCUACCCUUGAGUGGGGGAUAACCUAGAGAAAUCUGGGCUAAUACCGCAUAAUACCUUCGGGUCAAAGGAGCAAUUCGCUUAAGGAGGGGGUCGCGGCCGAUUAGUUAGUUGGCGGGGUAAUGGCCCACCAAGACUAUGAUCGGUAUCCGGCCUGAGAGGGCGCACGGACACACUGGAACUGAAACACGGUCCAGACUCCUACGGGAGGCAGCAGUGGGAAUUUUGCGCAAUGGGGGAAACCCUGACGCAGCAACGCCGCGUGGAGGAUGAAGUCCCUUGGGACGUAAACUCCUUUCGAUCGGGACGAUAAUGACGGUACCGAGAACGAAGAAAGCCCCGGCUAAACGUUCGUGCUAGCAGCCGC